UGGGGAAUUUUGGACAAUGGGCGAAAGCCUGAUCCAGCAAUGCCGCGUGUGUGAAGAAGGCCUUCGGGUUGUAAAGCACUUUUGUCCGGAAAGAAAUCCUUGGCUCUAAUACAGUCGGGGGAUGACGGUACCGGAAGAGUAAGCACCGGCUAACUACGUGCCAGCAGCCGCGGUAAUACGUAGGGUGCAAGCGUUAAUCGGAAUUACUGGGCGUAAAGCGUGCGCAGGCGGUUUGCUAAGACCGAUGUGAAAUCCCCGGGCUCAACCUGGGAACUGCAUUGGUGACUGGCAGGCUAGAGUAUGGCAGAGGGGGGUAGAAUUCCACGUGUAGCAGUGAAAUGCGUAGAGAUGUGGAGGAAUACCGAUGGCGAAGGCAGCCCCCUGGGCCAAUACUGACGCUCAUGCACGAAAGCGUGGGGAGCAAACAGGAUUAGAUACCCUGGUAGUCCACGCCCUAAACGAUGUCAACUAGUUGUUGGGGAUUCAUUUCCUUAGUAACGUAGCUAACGCGUGAAGUUGACCGCCUGGGGAGUACGGUCGCAAGAUUAAAAGC
This 553-nucleotide ribosomal RNA is filed under the name uncultured bacterium. RNAcentral describes it as "partial 16S ribosomal RNA". It matches the Rfam family "Bacterial small subunit ribosomal RNA", at positions 355 to 901 of the family's 1533-position model. The record is from RNAcentral.